RNAcentral lists this ribosomal RNA (440 nucleotides) under Blastocystis sp. RNAcentral describes it as "SSU rRNA". It matches the Rfam family "Eukaryotic small subunit ribosomal RNA", at positions 477 to 933 of the family's 1831-position model. The record is from RNAcentral. Lineage: Eukaryota; Bigyra; Opalinata; Blastocystidae.
ACAAUGCGGGACUAUACGUCUUGCAAUUGGAUUGAGAACAAUGUACAACUCUUAUCGAUAAGCCAUUGGAGGGCAAGUCUGGUGCCAGCAGCCGCGGUAAUUCCAGCUCCAAUAGCGUAUAUUAACGUUGUUGCAGUUAAAAAGCUCGUAGUUGAAGUGUGGGUGAUCGCUGUUGUGAGACUUCGGUCUCUCGACAGUAAGUCACCCCCUUCCAGUAUCCAGUAGUGGGUAUUCAGUUACUUACUACUGUGUGUUGGUCCUUUACUGUGAGAAAAUUAGAGUGUUCAAAGCAGGCGUUUGCUUGAAUAGAUUAGCAUGGAAUAAUAAUUGAAGGCUUUCGUGUUCGAUUUGAUUGGUUUGUUCAUGGAAGCAAGGUUAAAAGGAACAGUUGGGGGUAUUCAUAUUCACUAGUUAGAGGUGAAAUUCUCGGAUUUAUGGAA